UGAUUAUACUAUUUACAUAUUAUUAGUACGUAGUAUGUUGUUAAGAUUUAAUAUAUAAUGUACUUCAUUUUUAAUGGAGAGGUAGUUAGUAUGUAAUUAAUUUUAGAAAUAUAUUUGUUUGUAUUGUAUAUAAAUGUGUUAGAUUAUUUAAAUUAUUUGUUUAUUUAGUAUAAGUAGUAUAGAAAUAAAUGUUGUUGAGAGUACUGUAAAGGAUGAUUGUUUUAUAUAUUUAUUGUUUAGUAGAAAUUUAUGUUCGUACCUUUUGUAUAAUGGAUUGAUGAUUUAAUAAUUGUUGUAUUAUAAUAUCUCGAAGUGAAAGGAUUUACUUAAUAAGUUGUAUGUUAACGUUGUAUAGUUAUAUAUUGAUUAUUAGGUGGUAAUGAGAUGUUUAUCGAUUUUCGUGAUAGCUAGUUUAUUAAUUUAAGAUAUUUAAGUAUUAUAGUAUUAAUUAUAAUAAUUGUGUUAUUUUAAUAUUAGUUUAUUAUACGGGGGAUAAGCUUUGUAUAAUUUUACAGAAUUUUAAUAGAUAAGAAUUGUAAUUUAAGUAGAAUUAAUAACGUUUUUCUUUAAGAGUAGUUUAAAUUUUUAUAUUAUUUAGGUAAUUCGUGUGUUUAGUUAAUAAAUUCCUAUAAAUUUUGAUAGGUAAAUAUAAUGUUAAUAUGAGUAUUAGGAAUGUUUAAUAUAUUUAUGAUUAUUAUAAAUGUAAAUGGUUUAUAUUAUUGUGGUAUUAAUUAAGUAAGAUAAAGGAAUUCGGCAAAUAUUAAUCUCGCCUGUUUAUCAAAAACAUGUCUCUUUGUAGUUUAUAAAUGGAGAGUCGGGCCUGCUCGGUGAAUAAAAUUGUUUUAACAGCUGCGGUAUUUUAACUGUACUAAGGUAGCAUAAUAAUUUGCCUUAUAAUUUGAGGCUAGAAUGAAUGGUUUGACGAAGGUUAAUCUGUCUCUAUUUUAUUUAUUAGAAUUUAAUUUUUAGAGUGAAAAAGCUUGGAUUUUUUAAAGGGACGAGAAGACCCUACUGAGCUUAUAAUUUUAUUAUUAUUUUGUUUUGAUGUGUAAAGUAAUAUAUAAAUUUUAAUUGGGGUGAUUAAGGAAUAAAGUGUGUAAGAUAAGUAACUUCCUUAGUUUAAAUAUUGUUAAAUAAAGUAACCAAUAAUAUUGCUUAUAAUAUAGUUACCAUAGGGAUAACAGCGUAAUUUAUUUAGAGAGUUCUUAUUGAAAAAUGAGAUUGCGACCUCGAUGUUGGAUUAAAGUAACCUUAAGGUGCAGAAGCUUUAAAAGGUAAAUCUGUUCGAUUUUUAAAACUUUACAUGAUCUGAGUUCAGACCGGCGUGAGCCAGGUUGGUUUCUAUCUUUUAAAAUGAUUAUUGCUUCUUUUAGUACGAGAGGACCAAGGAUAGCUAAAUUUUUGUUUAUUAUAAU
RNAcentral lists this ribosomal RNA (1415 nucleotides) under Chiroteuthis picteti. Its description in RNAcentral is "16S ribosomal RNA". The stretch from base 966 to 1415 matches the Rfam family "Bacterial large subunit ribosomal RNA", at positions 2048 to 2727 of the family's 2925-position model. Lineage: Eukaryota; Metazoa; Mollusca; Cephalopoda; Oegopsida; Chiroteuthidae. The record is from RNAcentral.